RNAcentral lists this ribosomal RNA (804 nucleotides) under uncultured bacterium. RNAcentral describes it as "SSU rRNA". It matches the Rfam family "Bacterial small subunit ribosomal RNA", at positions 507 to 1306 of the family's 1533-position model. The record is from RNAcentral.
GCCAGCAGCCGCGGUAAUACGAAGGGACCUAGCGUAGUUCGGAAUUACUGGGCUUAAAGAGUUCGUAGGUGGUUGAAAAAGUUAGUGGUGAAAUCCCAGUAGCUUAACUCUGGAACUGCCAUUAAAACUUUUCAGCUAGAGUAUGAUAGAGGAAAGCAGAAUUUCUAGUGUAGAGGUGAAAUUCGUAGAUAUUAGAAAGAAUACCAAUUGCGAAGGCAGCUUUCUGGAUCAUUACUGACACUGAGGAACGAAAGCAUGGGUAGCGAAGAGGAUUAGAUACCCUCGUAGUCCAUGCCGUAAACGAUGUGUGUUAGACGUUGGAAAUUUAUUUUCAGUGUCGCAGGGAAACCGAUAAACACACCGCCUGGGGAGUACGACCGCAAGGUUAAAACUCAAAUGAAUUGACGGGGACCCGCACAAGUAGUGGAGCAUGUGGUUUAAUUCGAAGAUACGCGCAGAACCUUACCAACACUUGACAUGUUCGUCGCGACUCUAAGAGAUUAGAGUUUUCGGUUCGGCCGGACGAAACACAGGUGCUGCAUGGCUGUCGUCAGCUCGUGUCGUGAGAUGUUGGGUUAAGUCCCGCAACGAGCGCAACCCUCACUUUUAGUUGCCAUCAUUAAGUUGGGCACUCUGAAAGAACUGCCAGUGAUAAGCUGGGAGGAAGGUGGGGGAUGACGUCAAGUCCUCAUGGCCCUUACGUGUUGGGCUACACACGUGCUACAAUGGUAUCUACAACAGGAAGCAAGACUGCGAAGUUAAGCAAAUCCCUAAAAAGAUACCUUCAGUUCGGGAUUGCACUUU